Non-coding RNA from Phascolarctos cinereus (koala), 1414 nucleotides. The record is from RefSeq and is a predicted model, not a curated record. NCBI's taxonomy places the organism in Eukaryota, Metazoa, Chordata, Mammalia, Diprotodontia, Phascolarctidae.
CAUGCGUAUGCGCUUGCCUUCCCCGGAAGCGCAUGCGCUGCUGACCGCUUCUUGUAAAACUGACUUUCCAACGAACUCCAUUUAUGAGGGUAGAAGAAAACAAAGAGAAAUUGUAUUCUGGAUCUCAUCAACAAGGAGAAACUGGUUGCUAAGGAGAAGAUGAUGGAAACUUUCUGAAGAAGUGACCACUGUCUCUUGAGUCUGUUGAUAGAGCCCAAAAAAAUCCAGGCAAAGAGAAAAAGACUUUGGACUCCCACAGACAGAACAAACAGUUGAUACCCAAGACGAAUAGACACUAACUGUCCUGGAUGAGUUCAAGUCACCUGGCACAGCUAAGCUAUUCUCAGGUACUGAAAGAAUUGGGGAAUGUGAGUGAUUUCUCUUUACCAGAAAGCCUGAAGUAGGGUAUACUACUUAGGUAGUAGUGGGAAGCCUUGCGUGGGGUAGUAGUAGAAUUUGGAAGGACUACAUAGGAAACUAAGGAAGGUGGGGCUUCUGAGGGUGGGUUGCCUGACUCUGCUUUCCUUUGUUAGGGAGCCUUAAUCCUAGGGUGAUAUAAUUUCUAAAGACCUAUAUAAGUCACUGGCAAAGAAAAGGCCCUCCAGAUGGGGAAGGAGAGUAAUUUUAACUAUUUAUGACCUCAGGCAAGACUUUUGCAUUUUUAUGUUGGGUAAUACACAAAGCCUGUCCUGUGUUCAUUGUAAUGGUAGCUUGAAUACAUGGGAUCUGACAGUCUUUUUGCCUUUUGGAGAACUGGAAAUAGCCAGAUUAUAAUGUUCUCUGAGGAAGCCCUGGCCACAUGGCAAAGAAUCAUUUAUGAUCCAGGAUAGAACCAAGUCCAGGUAAACCCAAGGCCUUCAGUUCUAGGCUAUGGUUAUUCUCCUGCCCUUCUUACUUUCUCCUCCCUCUGUAGAGACAUCAACUUGACAUUUCAUAUACUUCAUAUGGUAUCCAAGCCCCAGGCCUUGUUAUCAAAGCUGAGUUGGAAGGAGGUACAGCUGAAGGACGUUCCAGGCAGAGUGUGAGGAUAGGGAAUGUCAGCAGCCACCAUGAAAUACCAAGCUUUGGGAGUGAGAAGGGGAUAAAAGGGACAAGUCAGGUCGGUCAAAUGGUAAUCUCUUGAUCCAUAUUGACUUCCCAGUCUGAAUAUCUGCUCCAGCCCUGGUUCCCCUAAGAAUAAACAAACAAACAAAAAAUUCUGGUACCAGCUUGGCCUGCUCUUGUGACUUAGCAUUUGUGUAACCUGAUUUAGAUCCUGCCCUUCUUCCCAGAAAGGGGAGUACCUAGAGGUGUGCUGGUAAAUGUUUAAUAACCAGCUGUAUGAAAACACAAUACGCUUUUAAGCUUAAUCCUCAUUUUAAAAACAAUUUUUUUUGGGAGGGCUGGGCAAUGGAGUUAGGUGACUUGCCCAGGG